Molecule: ribosomal RNA, 253 nt
Filed under: uncultured bacterium
Lineage: Bacteria
Description: partial 16S ribosomal RNA
Rfam family: Bacterial small subunit ribosomal RNA
Source: RNAcentral
UACAGAGGGUGCAAGCGUUAAUCGGAUUUACUGGGCGUAAAGCGUGCGUAGGCGGUUCGCUAAGUCGGUUGCGAAAUCCCUGGGCUUAACCUGGGAACUGCAGUCGAUACUGGCGGACUAGAGUACGGUAGAGGGUGGCGGAACUCCGGGUGUAGCGGUGAAAUGCGUAGAUAUCCGGAAGAACACCGAUGGCGAAGGCAACCACCUGGGCCUGUACUGACGCUGAGGUACGAAAGCGUGGGGAGCAAACAGG